RNA transcript from Spinacia oleracea (spinach), 3674 nucleotides. It is a transcript of the gene named DNA repair protein RAD16, with no coding region annotated. NCBI's taxonomy places the organism in Eukaryota, Viridiplantae, Streptophyta, Magnoliopsida, Caryophyllales, Amaranthaceae. The transcript is spliced from 16 exons. The record is from RefSeq and is a predicted model, not a curated record.
UCCCGCCGUCACUCUUUCCCACCACUCCACCAGUACGACUGCCCUAUACAGUUCCCACUUCCCACAACUGUGUCACCAAUUCCGAGUACUCAAACCCUAAUCUAUUUCUUUUCCCCUGCUUACGAAGAUGCAACUCCGCUCUAAUCGUUUACUGCCGGAGCCUACAAUUGACGUUGAUCAUGUUGCUGGCUGCGAUAUGAUAGAUUUAAAUGAGCCUCCAGAAAGUGAAUCAGAUGACAGUGAGUUGGAUGACGGACGUGUUAUCAGAAUAAAAAAGGUCAUUAAAAAAUGGAAAAAGCAUUAUAGGAAAGACACAAUGACAAAUAAAGAGCUCAAUGAUGAGGUAGUUAACACUAUUGAGCCAAGGGCUCAAAGUUUUAAUGGUGUUAGUGGCUUUGAGUUUGUUGAUCCCGAUAAGAUGAUACAACAGAAGAAACGAAAGAAGAACGGGGAGAUUAGGCCAACAUUGAUGUGGGAAAUAUGGGAAGAAGAACAUAGCAGAUGGAUUGAUAAUCAUAUUGCAAAAGAUAUUGAUUUGGAUCAGGAGAACAAUGGAACUGAUGAAAUGCACGAGGAACCCUCAGAUUUAGUUGGCCAGUUGUUGCGGUUUCAGAAGGAGUGGCUGACAUGGGCGUUGAAACAAGAAGAAUCAGUUUCUAGAGGGGGAAUCCUUGCAGAUGAGAUGGGAAUGGGAAAAACUGUUCAGGCAAUUGCACUUGUGCUUGCUAAAAGGGAACUUCGCCGAGCAAUUAAAGGAACUGAAGCAUCCUUGUUGUCACCCGGGUCAUCCUCCGUGUUGCCUGAAUUAAGUUGUACCCUUGUCAUUUGCCCUGCAUCCGCUCUACAUCAGUGGAAAAGGGAGAUUGAGCGAUUUACCCGAGAGGGAAGAACAAAAGUUCUGUGUUAUCAAGGGGCCAAGAGAGCAAAGAAUGCUCUACAAUUUUUUGGGAACGAUUUUAUAAUCACCACUUAUAACACAAUAGAGGCCGAUUAUCGCAAAGUGUUGCCACCCAAGCAGAAGUGUGAAUGGUGUGGUAAGUGUUUUUAUGAACGAAGGAUGGCUGUUCAUCUUAGAUAUUAUUGUGGGCCUAAUGCAAUUAGAACAGAGAAGCAGUCUAAGCAAAACAGGAAGGCAAAGAAAUCUCACUUGAAAGUAUCCAAAAAAUGUGCUGAAGAUGAUAUCAGUAAAAUAAAUGAUAAUAAGCUGGAGGCAGCUCAAAAGAACAUUGGUAACUUGCACGAUCCCUUAGAAGAAUCAGGUAGUCAAUCUGAACAAGAAGAUCUUGGCGAUGUUGACGCGAAUGUUCAUAAGUCCACUCUGCACUCUGUAAAAUGGGAACGCAUUGUAUUGGAUGAGGCCCACUCCAUCAAAGAUAGACGUAGCAAUACUGCUAGGGCAGUUCUUGCAUUGCAGUCUUCAUACAAAUGGGCUUUGAGCGGUACCCCCCUUCAGAAUCGUGUUGGAGAACUCUAUUCACUGAUCCGCUUUUUGCGAAUUGUUCCUUUUUCCUAUUAUAUGUGCAAGGAUUGUGAUUGCAGAACACUUGAUUACGGCUUUUCAGGCGAAUGUAAAAGUUGCGUUCACAAAUCUGUGAGGCAUUUUUGCUGGUGGAACAAAAAUGUGGCGACGCCAAUACAAUCGAAUGGCAAUUCUGGGGAUGGACAAAGAGCCAUGUUUUUGCUGAAGAACAAAAUUCUCAAGAGCAUUUUGCUGAGACGUACCAAAAGUGGCAGGGCUACGGACCUUGCUCUUCCUUCAAAAAUUGUGUCAUUGAGGCGAGAUUCUUUGGAUAUCAGAGAAGAAGACUAUUAUCAGUCACUGUACAAUGAAAGUCAAGCUCAAUUUAAUACAUAUGUUAAGGCAGGCACCCUGAUGAAUAAUUAUGCUCAUAUAUUUGACCUACUUACACGUCUGCGGCAGGCGGUUGACCAUCCAUAUCUCGUGAUAUAUUCUCGCGCCAAUUGUUUAAGGAAUGAAAAUGUUGCAGAAGAUGACAAUGGCGAACAAAUUUGUGGCAUUUGUCAUGAUCCAGCUGAGGAUCCUACGGUUACAUCAUGUGGACAUCAUUUUUGUAGAAUCUGCCUCAUCGAUUUUUCAUCUUCUGCGAGCCAAUCUUCAUGCCCGUCUUGUUCGAAACCACUUACUGCUGAUUUUACUUCAAACUUAAGCAUCAGAGGUCAGAGAUCAAAAACAUCUGUUAAUGGGUUUAAACGCUCAAGCAUCAUGAACAGGAUCCAACUUGAUGACUUUCAGACAAGCACAAAGAUAGAUGCAUUGAGGGAGGAAAUCAGAUCUAUGAUUGAGAGAGAUGGUUCUGCCAAAGGGAUUGUCUUUAGCCAGUUCACAUCAUUUUUAGAUUUGAUCAUGUAUUCUUUGAAGAAGUCUGGUAUAACUUGUGUCCUACUGGAUGGAUCUAUGACCAUCACUGCGAGAGAUAAUGCAAUUAAAAGAUUCCACGAGGACUCUGACUGCAGAAUUUUCCUCAUUAGUUUGAAGGCUGGAGGUGUUGCACUCAACCUUACAGUGGCUUCACACGUAUAUUUAAUGGAUCCUUGGUGGAAUCCGGCAACAGAGCGACAAGCCAUGGAUAGGAUACACAGAAUUGGGCAAUAUAAGCCAAUUAGAAUUGUGAGAUUCCUUAUAGAGAAUACUGUAGAGGAAAGAAUUUUGAAGCUCCAAGAGAAAAAAGAACUAGUUUUCGAAGGGACAGUUGGAGGAUCUUCAGCUGCCCUGGCUAAAUUAACUGAAGCAGACUUGAGAUUUCUUUUUCACACCUGAAAUAAUGGAAAUGGGGUGAAAGUAGUACUAGUUCUGGAAGAAUCUUAACAUCAAAGUUUCCCAAGCUGUGUAAAUUAAAGAAAUUUGCCAUCCGAAGCUCUGAUACAACACUCAAUCCACAAAGGUGUACUACAAGUGUGAUCCUUGCAACAAUCUGGGAUGGUGCAAGAGAGUAGUUGAGCAAGAAAACAGGGGGCAACAGCAUGAAGGACAAUACAGGGGAAGCUUAGACAAAGGAGAAAGUACUGAAAACAGGAGAAACAGUAUGAUGCAAUAUGACUUGAAGCAAAUGAAGAAAAAGCUGAUACUGUAAUAUCAAUACAAGGCAUCUUACUUUGAUUUUGAAAUGAAGAAAGGCUAAUCCUAUUUAUGUCAUGGUUUGGGAUGGACAUGCAGAACUUAUGACUCAAGAGAGCAUGCAAGUACUUUUAGCAAAAUAAAGUUAAGGACUUCAGAGAACUCUUAGCGAGGAAAUUGGGAGGCAACCAACAUAUGAAAGAAGUCUGAGGGCAGAGUCUUAUUAUUGGUAUAGAGUUGGAUGAACAAGUUGGCCCGCUAGUUGAUGCUUGUCGAAAUUCAGGAAUGUUAAAUUGUUAAUAUUAACUGCUGGAAAAGAAAAAUUAGUGAGAUUGGUUCCUCCACUGACCAUAUUAGGACAGAAGCUCGAAAUAGGUUCUGAGAUUCUCCUCAAGUGUUUCCCGUCCCUGGGUUGAAGCAGUUGAGUUGAAUUUGUGUACGAGAGUCGAUGCUUGUCAAAUUUCCUUGUGACACCAAUAGAUCCAAAGCUCAUAAUUGGCAUCGUAGUUGUAAAUCAGGAAUAAGUUUUCCUACUAGCUUCUCUUUGGAUUAUGCCUUGGUUUUAUGUACAAAUUGUCAUUUCAAGAUAUCCCACUCG